GACGAACGCUGGCGGCGUGCUUAACACAUGCAAGUCGAACGGAAAGGCCCUGCUUGCAGGGUACUCGAGUGGCGAACGGGUGAGUAACACGUGGGUGAUCUGCCCUGCACUUCGGGAUAAGCCUGGGAAACUGGGUCUAAUACCGGAUAGGAGCCAUUUUUAGUGUGAUGGUUGGAAAGUUUUUUCGGUGUAGGAUGAGCUCGCGGCCUAUCAGCUUGUUGGUGGGGUAAUGGCCUACCAAGGCGGCGACGGGUAGCCGGCCUGAGAGGGUGGACGGCCACAUUGGGACUGAGAGACGGCCCAGACUCCGACGGGAGGCAGAAGUGGGGAAUAUUGCACAAUGGGCGCAAGCCUGAUGCAGCGACGCCGCGGGGGGGAUGACGGCCUUAGGGUUGUAAACUCAAUUCGCUAGGGACGAAGCUUUUUGUGACGGUACCUAGAGAAGAAGCACCGGCUAACUACGUG
RNAcentral lists this ribosomal RNA (465 nucleotides) under uncultured bacterium. RNAcentral's name for it is "partial 16S ribosomal RNA". It matches the Rfam family "Bacterial small subunit ribosomal RNA", at positions 28 to 507 of the family's 1533-position model. The record is from RNAcentral.